CAACUCUUCUCUUCCAACUUGUUAGGCAAUCAUAUCUACCUACGGGGAAGGAUGGCCAGCCACACAGGGUGAUUUGUAUUAAGGAGAAGGAGGCCGUGCUGCCUGAGAUGCAUGCUGGCCAUUUCGGAGUGAAGUGCAUGAACGCCAAAAUCAACCUAUGCUUUUUCUGACAGGGAAUUGCCAAGGAGGUGGACAGCUGGGCAAGUGAAAGAAAUAACAUUUUGCCACUUUUUGCUUAAAGGUCAGAACCCUGUGUAGCCUGCCAGAAGUUUGAGAUCACUGAAACUCCACCUGAUGUGGUGAAAGUUGUCGAUCCAGAUCAGAAAGCCUUCGAGUACUACCUUCAGGCACAGACUGAGAAGGAUGUGAAUGUUUUUGACCAGGAGCUAGGGGUUCUGCCCAACACCCAGACGUAAAUCCCCCCGAUGUCUUCCAUAACCAACCACCCUCCAACUUUUCAUUACAUCAUCUACAGCUACUGUUGUCAUGUUGUCAUUAUCUGCUAAGAAAGUUUUCUUGCUGUAUCAUACUGAGCACAUAAUAUGUGAGAUAUACAGAUUAACUAAAAACACUAGCACUGCAAACACUCAGAACAGAGAUUGCAGCAGUGCCUGGACUUUGCAGUCUCCCUCUUCUUCAAGUUUCCCUUCUGAGACUGGCUGCCUGUUGAGUGACAGGCAGAAUUCCACACACCUUAAUUCAGUAUUUUAGUCUAUGAUUGCCAUGUGAGUGCAUAAAAAAUCUGCGAAAAUAAAUUAAUGACACAAC
Molecule: long non-coding RNA, 768 nt
Filed under: Salmo salar (Atlantic salmon)
Lineage: Eukaryota; Metazoa; Chordata; Actinopteri; Salmoniformes; Salmonidae
Description: lncRNA (ENSSSAG00000118535.1)
Source: RNAcentral